AACUCCCCUCCCGCUCAGUGCCCGCCGCUGCUGGGCCGGCUGCCCGGCGCCGUGCGUGCGCCCCGCACCCGAGCUGCCACACGGGGUGGGGGGAGUGCCUGCCUGCCUCGCUCGGCCCUAGCCGAGGCUCCCCUGCUGGUUCAGCUCCGCCUUGCCCUCUUCUGCAGCCGCUGGAAGCGCCUGGGGGCUUUGGGACCGGACAGCGGCUCUGCCUCCCGCCCGCGCGUGGCGCGGCCGUGAGUGUCAAGUGCGGGGCUCGCUCUGCAAAGCGAGAUCUACUUCAUAAAGAGUUGCUGAGUGCAGCUUUGAAGGGCAAUAGUUGUAUCAUGCUAACCUAGGGGCUGAUCCUAAGAAACACUUAAGUAGGAGUUAUUGCGAAGAAAAAUAUUGGAGGAAAUCAUUCCCACUAAAAAUCCAAGCAGCCGCAAUGCUAGAUUAUAACAGAAAAUGUCUCUCACCAUCCACUUUAAAUGUUAACCCCACGCACCCAAAGUCACAGCAAUGACCAAAUCCUGCCCGUGUGAUUUAUAGAAGUAAUCCCAUUUACUUCAGGGAAACCACCUACUUGACUAAGAAGAAGAUGAUAGCAGAAAAACUGUAUGGAAAGUAGGCAAGGGACUCAGCUACAAGCCAGAAGAAAGAUAUGAUCUUGCUGUGCUAUUUUAGUUAAAAAAUAUUGGUAUGGAAGAACAAGCUGUUUUAGCACCAGAAAACAGUACCUUACCAUAAAUGAGCACUUUGUCUCAAAAAAUUAAAAAAAAACAAAACAUCUGAGCUAAAGUACGAAGACUGAGAAGACAAAAUGUCCAUACUAAAGGGCUCAGUCACACCUGGGGAAAUGAUGAGCUAUAUCAUACAUAUCUCUUGGAGCAGUGCCACACGCUGUGGCAAUGGCUAUUUUACAUAGUUUUCUAGAUUAUGAAGAGUAUGCUAUGGGAAAAAAUUGUGUGUGGCUUGAAAUUUUCCGUGAUUAGUUAUUGUUUUUUGUAAUGAAAAAUUUCAACCAAAAUGCUCUCAGAGUCAUUUUCUAAUACAGGGGCAGAAGCACGGGGAGUUUUGGUGGAAAUUUUUCAACUAGUUCUACUAACAAUCUGUGACACAGGAAAAGGGAUAUGAUAAAGGUGUGGAGGUGGGUGGCAAUUGCUUCCCAAUACUUUGUUCUUGUAUAACAGUCACUUUGUGUAUCAGGAGUUACUUCGCCACAAGACCAGAAGCAACUUCCUUUAUAAGCUGUUAUUGCAUAUGAAGAUCUGAUGCCAGGAAAUGUAAAGUAACUGCCUCUUUAGGUUCAUUAUACCUGCAGACUUGACAAUGUGUCCCUUCUGGCCUAGUGGCAAAGAGAAUUUUGUAAGUUUACAUUUGAGAGACUGGGUUGGCAGUUACAUGCUACAGUUUAGGUUGAUAGUAUUUGCUAACCAAAUGCUAGGGAAAAGCCUCCAUGUUUACCGGUUAGCACUAAACAAAAGAGAGAAACUCUAAUUUAAACAAAGCACUUAACAGAUAUACAAAAUGGGAGGCUGGUGAGUGGUGCAGACUACCCUAUGCCAGCAGAGCUUUUUUUACUCUUCCCCCCACCCAGCACAAGACAUUUUAGCUCCAAGAUGGGGAAAAGGCUCAAAUCUUACCACUAUGAAUAUGAUAUUUUAUGCACAAAGUAGUAAGGUCUGAGAUUUCUCAAAUGUACAGUCUCAAGCUCAAAGCUGAUCCUCAACUAAAUUAUAAUAAUUUCUAUCCUUAUAGUUGAGAUACAAGAGAUUGGGCUGAAAGUGUGAACUCAGUGCAAUAUUUUACUCUGUUUGAAUGGUGCUAUGUCAUUUGACAACGUAAAGGAACCUGCACUACAAUUUACAUUAUUACAAGUAAAAUAUCUUCUACAAAAUAUACCAGUCACCAUACGCAUCUUACAUCAUUCUUUAAAGUAUGGUUCUGCUCAAAAAAGUGACUUUCUAGAACUGGUAUCAUGAGGUUUCUUUUGCUGAUUUCCAGAUAAAAUCUGAUCAGAUUGCAAAGAAAACCCAUCUUUUUCUGACAGUCAGUCCUGCAAACUCAACCUAAGAUCUGAAAGCCAAGCUGGGUUCUUCCUGGCAUAUGCAUCACCAACAACAAGGACACUGCAAUCUUAACUUAGACAACAAUUCUGUUGAUUAUGUAAAAAAUAUAAUGGAAUCUAAAUUGCUCUCGCCUAGAACUGAUAGAAGUAAACAGUAGCAAAUAUUUAUAUUAGUCAUUGGUCAUCAGAUAUUACUGAAUACACAUGGGAAGAGAGGAUUAUCUAGCAGAGUUAGUCAAAAGUAAGAAUUUCUAUUCCGUGGGAAAUUCUGAAAGAAAAUUUCAUUCCUUUUCCGAACGAAAAACAAGUUUUGAAUUUUCUCACUAAAAAGGAAAAGAGAAAGAAUUUGUAGAUAUAGUUUAAACAUUUUGUUUUGAAAAUUUAAUAAUGAGAUUGACUGUGGGAGCCCAAGUUCGGAAGCUCCCAGCUCAGCCAUGGCUCCUAGGGCUUCUAAGCACCCCAUGGAACUGGAAGCCUAGAAUCCCUGGAAGCCAUGACCAAGCUGGGAGACUCCGUGUUUGGGAUCCAGGGCUCAAAGGUUCUCAAUUCUGUGGUAGGGAGAAGAUCCCUGCAUAGAGCCAGGGUCCCACAGCUUCCAGCUCUUCAGCAGGGAGCUUUGAAGCCCUCAGAUCCCCGAUUUUGAGGUAGUCAGUAUGGCAAGGUGCCCUGAAGUCACAGAUGCUUGAAGCCCAGAGUCCCUGUCUGACGUUGUCUAAUUAAAAUAUAAUCAUGCAAAUCAUGAUUGCUACCACUGUUAUAUAAUUGCAACGAAUCUUAUACGAAGUGUAACACAUGGCCGGAAAGGGUUAAGCAGCUUGCAGGCUAAAUAACCCAGAGCCCACCUUUAAAGUCAUGUUAGAAGGGUAUGCAAAUGGUAAUUAGGGCCAUUCAAUGCUAGAUAGGCUAGAACUGCAAAUGCAAAUUUAUAUUGUUAGAAGUGAUACUAAUUGGAUGUGUUUACUUAUAGAUACUAGCCAUGUAAACAGACAGUUCCUGUCUGUCACUGUUGCUGUUGAUUCAGAGAUCAAAAGGGAAUAUUAACAUUUAGAUGAAUCUUGGGUGCAAUAAUGUCAUUGUCUAUGUGUCUCUAUAAAGUCUGUGAUUAACUGCUUAAUGGAUAAAUCAUCAUAAGGUAAUUCAUGUAGUUAAUUACCGGUGAUGACUGGAAACAGAAGGUUACAUCAAAAGCCUAUUGUUUACCCAGGACUGUAUGGUCAAGUGGAUGCUAGAAAACUAUAUGAAAGACCCUUGGGUCUCAAUCCUUUUUAUCUCAGAUCUGCUUGAUUCUUCAACGCAGGGGAAGCUUAAGCCUCAAGAUUGAGAUUCCAGUGCUGACUGGACUGCCCUGAAUAUAAACAUUGUACUAUAACCUACGGACCAAUUCUGAAAUAACUUUUUGCAACUACAAAGCUCACCAUCUCUGCUAUGAAUCUGAACCUCAAGAAUUAUACUCUUGUCUGUUUGUAUACUGAUCUGUUAACCAAUUCUCUCUUCUUUUUUUAAUAAAUUUUAGUUUCGUUAA
Caretta caretta (loggerhead turtle) is the source of this 3572-nucleotide long non-coding RNA. RefSeq lists it as uncharacterized. The record is from RefSeq and is a predicted model, not a curated record. NCBI's taxonomy places the organism in Eukaryota, Metazoa, Chordata, Testudines, Cheloniidae.